AUGCUUGCUCCAGCAGCACAUACAGUAAAAUCGCAACAAUCCAGAGAAGAUUAGCAUGGCCCCUGUGGAAGGAUGACAUGCAAAUUCAUAAAGCAUUCCAUAUUUUU
Small nuclear RNA from Choloepus hoffmanni (Hoffmann's two-fingered sloth), 107 nucleotides. The record is from Ensembl. NCBI's taxonomy places the organism in Eukaryota, Metazoa, Chordata, Mammalia, Pilosa, Megalonychidae.